GUGCUCACUUCAGUAGCACAUAUACUAAAAUUGGAAUAAUACAGAGAUAACGUGGCCCCUCAGCAAGGAUGAUAUGUAAAUUCAUGAAGUUUUCCAUAAAUAA
Small nuclear RNA from Ailuropoda melanoleuca (giant panda), 103 nucleotides. Lineage: Eukaryota; Metazoa; Chordata; Mammalia; Carnivora; Ursidae. The record is from Ensembl.